UGGGGAACCUGCCCCAUAGUCUGGGAUACCACUUGGAAACAGGUGCUAAUACCGGAUAAGAAAGCGGAUCGCAUGAUCAGCUUUUAAAAGGCGGCGUAAGCUGUCGCUAUGGGAUGGCCCCGCGGUGCAUUAGCUAGUUGGUAAGGUAAAGGCUUACCAAGGCGAUGAUGCAUAGCCGAGUUGAGAGACUGAUCGGCCACAUUGGGACUGAGACAGGCCCAAACUCCUACGGGAGGCAGCAGCG
RNAcentral lists this ribosomal RNA (244 nucleotides) under uncultured Lactobacillus sp. RNAcentral describes it as "partial 16S ribosomal RNA". It matches the Rfam family "Bacterial small subunit ribosomal RNA", at positions 118 to 356 of the family's 1533-position model. Lineage: Bacteria; Bacillati; Bacillota; Bacilli; Lactobacillales; Lactobacillaceae. The record is from RNAcentral.